UUAAACCUAGAACUCUCGUUAAGGAACCAUAAUUGAACCUACAUUAUUUUAUUGGGAAUCCGGAGUCUUUCAUUUGAUGACAUGCCUUUUUAGGACUUCAGAGAUUGAAAGCAGGAUACCCACCUAUCGACAGAUAGGCAUCAAUUAUAUCCUGACGGAGCUUCCGGGUUUUUU
Molecule: non-coding RNA, 174 nt
Filed under: Clostridiales bacterium S5-A14a
Lineage: Bacteria; Bacillati; Bacillota; Clostridia; Peptostreptococcales; Anaerovoracaceae
Description: 6S / SsrS RNA
Rfam family: 6S / SsrS RNA
About the family: E. coli 6S RNA was the first non coding RNA to be sequenced, but its function was unknown until recently.
Source: Rfam by way of RNAcentral